UGGGGAAUUUUGCACAAUGGGGGAAACCCUGAUGCAGCGACGCCGCGUGAUUUAGAAGGCCUUCGGGUUGUAAAAAUCUUUUCUAUGGGAAGAAAAUGACAGUACCAUAGGAAUAAGGACCGGCUAAUUACGUGCCAGCAGCCGCGGUAAUACGUAAGGUCCGAGCGUUGUCCGGAAUCAUUGGGCGUAAAGGGUACGUAGGCGGGUAAGCAAGUUAGAAGUGAAAUCCUAUAGCUCAACUAUAGUAAGCUUUUAAAACUGCUCAUCUUGAGGUAUGGAAGGGAAAGUGGAAUUCCUAGUGUAGCGGUGAAAUGCGCAGAUAUUAGGAGGGAUGCCGGUGGCGAAGGCGAGUUUCUGGCCAUAACCUGACGCUGAGGUACGAAAGCGUGGGUAGCAAACAGG
Molecule: ribosomal RNA, 402 nt
Filed under: bacterium
Lineage: Bacteria
Description: partial 16S ribosomal RNA
Rfam family: Bacterial small subunit ribosomal RNA
Source: RNAcentral